UCCUCUGCUAGCCUCAAGCUCAGGGCUCAGAGCAACACUUAUCACUUAAUUAUAGCAAAUAACAAAUCUUGAAAGAUAGGCAGUUAAAGGCAGUUAAAGAGAGAUAGAUCUAAGUUUAAGGUAAGACGAAGGCAGUUAAAGAAAAACACUAUAUAAAUAAACAGAUGAGGACUUAAUUACUCAUGCAUUCUAAGACCAACAAAACCCUCAUAAGAAAAUCUCAUAUAUAAAUUCCUGGAUGAAAGAAUAAAAAUAAACCUACAAUAUAAUUGAAAAUAAACUGUUAGAGCAAUUUAGACUUGAC
This is a non-coding RNA of Arachis ipaensis, 304 nucleotides long. The record is from RefSeq and is a predicted model, not a curated record. Lineage: Eukaryota; Viridiplantae; Streptophyta; Magnoliopsida; Fabales; Fabaceae.